RNAcentral lists this unclassified non-coding RNA (228 nucleotides) under root metagenome. RNAcentral's name for it is "partial contains small subunit ribosomal RNA, internal transcribed spacer 1, and 5.8S ribosomal RNA". The record is from RNAcentral.
UCUCCGUUGGUGAACCAGCGGAGGGAUCAUUAUAGAGUGUUAAAACUCCCAAAACCCUGUGAACUUUACCUAUCGUUGCUUCGGCGGAGUCGUCCCGGGUGCGCUGCGAGGCGCGUCCCGGAUCCAGGCGCCCGCCGGGGGACCCAAACUCUUUGUUUUUACAAGUGGUAUCUUCUGAGUGGCAUAAGCAAAUAAUUAAAACUUUCAGCAACGGAUCUCUUGGUUCUG